Molecule: ribosomal RNA, 492 nt
Filed under: Centipeda noxia
Lineage: Bacteria; Bacillati; Bacillota; Negativicutes; Selenomonadales; Selenomonadaceae
Description: bacterial SSU rRNA
Rfam family: Bacterial small subunit ribosomal RNA
Source: RNAcentral
GACGAACGCUGGCGGCGUGCUUAACACAUGCAAGUCGAACGGAGCGAAUGAAAGCUUGCUUUUAUAAGCUUAGUGGCAAACGGGUGAUAACACGUAGGCAACCUGCCGACAGGAUGGGGACAACAUUCCGAAAGGAAUGCUAAUACCGAAUGAAGCGCAGGGGAGGCAUCUCUCCUGCGUGAAAGAUGGCCUCUAUAUAUAAGCUAUCACCUGUCGAUGGGCCUGCGUCUGAUUAGCUGGUAGGUGAGGUAACGGCUCACCUAGGCGACGAUCAGUAGCCGGUCUGAGAGGAUGAACGGCCACAUUGGGACUGAGACACGGCCCAGACUCCUACGGGAGGCAGCAGUGGGGAAUCUUCCGCAAUGGGCGCAAGCCUGACGGAGCAACGCCGCGUGAGUGAAGAAGGUCUUCGGAUCGUAAAGCUCUGUUGAUGGGGACGAACGUGCCUAAUGCGAAUAGUAUUAGGUAAUGACGGACCCAUCGAGAGCCCCG